Molecule: RNA transcript, 4306 nt
Organism: Ictalurus furcatus (blue catfish)
Lineage: Eukaryota; Metazoa; Chordata; Actinopteri; Siluriformes; Ictaluridae
Gene: lrrcc1
Gene name: leucine rich repeat and coiled-coil centrosomal protein 1
Exons: 20
Source: RefSeq, a predicted model, not a curated record
UUGUUAUUUCAAGCAGGUGAUGAGCCGGUCAUGGCCGAUGGAGAGCUGAGUUUGAUCGAUAAAAACAUUUCAAGUUUAUUAGAGGUUCCACUGAAGACCUCUAUCACGUCUUUAAACCUGCACUGUAAUCGACUGUCAAAGAUCGAAGGGUUGACAACAGCAUGGCACGUACGACAUCUGGACCUUUCGUCAAAUCACAUCGCUCGUAUCGAGGGCCUUGGUGCGCUUUCUCAAUUGCGUACCUUAAACCUGUCUUGCAACAGCAUCACUAAGGUGGAAGGUCUUAAUGGACUUGUAAACCUUACAAGGCUUAACUUGGCUUAUAAUCAAAUAAACGACCUCACUGGUCUCUUAUAUCUGCAUGGGACUGAAUACAAAUUGAAACACCUCCAGAUUCAUAGCAAUCGACUGGACAGCAUGAACCAUCUGCUGCAAUGCAUGGUGGGUUUGCACAACCUGAGAGAUCUCACUCUCAGUAUGGACGGUGCCGAUAAUCCUGUCUGCCGUCUACCAGGCUACAGGGAGAUGGUGCUGCAGCCCUUGCAACAGAUCUCUACUCUGGAUGGAGAAGAUAGGUUGGGAAAACCCACUCCGUCACGGGAUGAGAGCCCAAUGGACAUCCCAGGCCUGGAGGACUUUCUGGAGUUUCUAAUUUCGACAGACACUAGUGUCGACGUCGAGCCGGUCCAGUCAGACGCUCCUCUCCCCACUCCCCGGAUUGACGAGGUUCUGACACAGUUUCGGCAUCGCAGUAGAGUUUUAAACCCACCCGCUGAGUCAUCAGCGCAGGAGUGCUCAAUUAGAGACGAUUCAGCCAAAGGCAACCAGAUAAAUGAGCUCCGUAUUAAAAAGUUGGAGCAGCAGGUGUCCCAACUCUUCCAGAAGGCUCCGGUGGCUGAUGGCCCUAAUGCGAGCUCUGCAUUGCAGUCUGUGGUACGCAAAGCAAAAAGGGACACGGAUCUCACAUCAGAGAGUGAAUAUGACAGUGCGAAAGAGAAUCUGCAGCACUCAAGAGUCCGCCGACCCAAAAUCGCAACAGAGAAGAAGCUGGUAAAAGGCAAACGCUCUGACAGUGAAGCAAGCACACAAAAGCACAGGAGUUUAAAGCUCACUGCUGGCGCUGGGCAGAAGGCAGCAGUCCAAACUGUGAGGCUGACAGAAACAGCAAAGAAAGGCCUCAGAGCACGCCAGGCCACUCCAGACAAAAACUCCAGUGACACACAACAGGAGACCUACAGGGUGAUAGUGGAGGAGCGGGAUCAGGAGCGGGAACGGCGCUGGAAGGCAGAGCAUGCUGUGAAGAAGCUUACAGAGCAGGUGAAGGGGCUGCAAACACGGGCCACAGAGGAGAAAGAACUCCAGAGCCUGGCCUUGCACACAACCGAUAGGCUGAAGGAGUUGUUGCUGAAGGAGCGCUCGGAGCGGACGGCACUGCAGACUCGAGUGGAGGAGCUGGAGGAACGAUGUGCAAAUGCAGCACAACAGCUGGAGCAGCAGCGCAGCCAUGAGGCACAAUACAAGGGUGCACUGCACAGUUUGCAGGAGAGCGUCUCUCAACAAGAGGCCCUCAGGGCCAGUCAGCAGGUGGAGGAGAUGAAGAGAAAGCAGGAGCUGGAGAACAAAUGCGCUGUUCUAAAGAGAGAGGUGGAAAUACUCAGAGCAUCUGUGCGGCAGCAUAAAGAUAAGCUACAGCACCUACAAGAACUGCUGACCUCCAGAGAGGAAGUGCACAGGAAGGAGCUGGCUUCACGGCUCAUUCCAGGUGGCGCCGAGUUUCGUGAAGCUGUGGAGAAGGAAGUGAGGGCUGUGGAGCAGAGACACACUCGGAGACACCGUGAGAUGGAACAGAAACUGGUCGAAGCCCGGCACCAAUAUGCCACCCUGGAGGAUGAGUUCCGCAUGGCUCUCACCAUCGAAGCCAAUCGCUUCUCUGAGGUGAAAGAGGGCUUUGAGCAGGUGUCUGCCGAGCUUGCCGAGGUGAAGAUAGCUUUGAGUGCGUCUCAGCAGAGAGGGAAGCAGUCAGACUCUCUGGUGCAGGAGCUCACAGCUAUGGUGAAGGAGCAGAAAACACGCAUAGCCGAUCUCAUCAAAGCCAAACGCGAUGCUGUAACAGAAUUAAAGGCACGAGUACGGACUCUAGAGGCUGGAGCAGAGGAGGACAGGCGUCUAAAUGUGCAACUGGAACUUUUGAAGAAGGACAAAUCCAAGCUGAUCUCGCAGCUCACUGCACAGGAGACUGUUAUAGAAGGACUCAGAGCGGAGAGAAGGCUCUGGGGACAGGAGCUCGCCCAGCAAGGAGCGUCUCUUGCUCAGGAUCGAGGUCGCUUGGAGGCCAAAAUUGAGGUCCUGACUACUGAGCUGGAGUCCCAGAAGAAACAGAAUCAGAGAGACAACGAUUCACUAAAGAUCAAAACGAAGAUAGUGGAUGAUCAAACCGAGACAAUCCGGAAGCUAAAAGAGGCAGUGCAGGAAAGGGAUGAGCAGCUCCGUGCUCUGCGUGAGGAGAACCUGCAGGUUCAGAGAAAGUUCCAGAAGGAAAUGGAGGGUGAGAUGGCCUCAGCAGCAGAGCUCCGAGAUGCCAUGGACAGACUCCGCCUCAGAAAAGAUGAGCUCAAGCAACAGCUCCUUGACAAGGAGGCGGAGAUGGAGGAGCUCAAAGAAGCCUACAGUGCCUCGAGUCGUAAAUGGCAGGAUAAAGCGGACUUGCUGACCAAACUGGAGUGCCAGGUGAAGCGUAUGAAGGAGGGAUUCGAUGCUAAAGAGAAAGCAUUACUGGAAGAGAGGGAUAAAACCACUCGAGCACACAAGGCAGCGGUCGAAAAACUUCACUGUGUGGACGACGCUUUCCGUAGACAGCUGGAGUCCUUGCAGGCUUCUCAUCAGGCUGAGUUGCUCCGAUUGGCUCAUGACAAACAGAAACAAAUAGAACAGGCCAAUCAGAGGUUUGCGUAAGCAUGUGAGAACACAGCACUCUCUCUAUGACUGUCCAAGAGGUUGCCUCUGUGAAGUACCAGAUAAACUCUAGUGCAGUUUGAGUGCUGUGGAAAGCAGUUCAGCCCUGCCGGAAAUUUUAUUUAUUUAUUUAUUUAUUUAUUAGACACGAACUACCUGUUAGGACAGAGAAGAAGCCUUUAUUUGUCACGUAUACAUUAUAGCACAGUGAAAUUCUUUUCUUCGUGUAUUCCAGCUUGUUUGUUUUUUUUAGGAAGUUUGGGUCAGGGUGCAGGGUCAGCCAUGAUACGGCUCCCCUGGAGCAGAGAGGGUUAAGGGCCUUGCUUAAGGGCCCAACAGUGGCAGCUUUUCGGUGCUGGGGCUUGAACCCCUGACCUUCAAGCUCCGUGUUGGAUCUACAGUGACCCUGACCAGGAUAAAUCUGUUACUUACGAUGAAUGAAUGAAUGAAUAUAUUUAGUCUCUGCACCAUGUUUUCCGUGAUCGGGUGAUUUACUUGAUUUUUACACACAAUUGGCAAAGAUUUAUUUAGCUUUCUGACCAACGAAUGAAAUAGUUUUACGAGUAUGUUUUCAGCAUGCAAAGGCAUGUAUCGAUUUCCCUAUUUGCUUCUCGGCAAAAGUUUUGUUGGCUUUUUGGUUUAUUUAUAUAUGCACAGUGUUAAACCAAAUAGCAGUUAAACGAAAAGUAUACAUUUUGCUGUGCUUCAGACUCAGCAAACAGACUAAUAGGUGUGAAAGUGGCCUAGUCAGCAAGUGGCCAAGUCAGAGUAGGUGUGCCGAUCUGGAGCAGUAUGAUGCAAAACUAAUCCUGAUGCUGCACUCAAAACCUUAAGAUAAUCAUGAAAUGGGAAGUCCAUGUUUAUUUAUUUAAUUUUUUAAAUAAACAUAUUCAGGACCUGUGUGAUCUUACUGUGCAGUGAGAAGACAGGGAAUAGUGUUGUUCUAGAUUGUUCAUUUACAGUACACCAGGUGGAGGAUGAGAUGAGGCAGCUGCUGGAGGAAACCGAGAGCAACAAAAUGGCAAUGGAGGAGAAAAUGAGACGCCUCACCAAUGUGCUUAAAGACUUCUAACCACAUAGUUCUGUUUUUAAAAUAACAUCAUAAAAUAUAUAUAUAAGGACCCCCUCUUGUGUGUUUGAUAUCUGAGGUUCACUCUGUUUGAAAAAGGGUACUAAGCGGUACUUUUCCUCGGCAUUGGGGUGUACUCACGAGAACAGCUUUUUUACCUUUGUGUAUCUUUAUAGCUUUGCUCUAAAAACUCAUUCUGAUCUAUUUAUAUACAACCCCAAUUUCAAAAAAGUUGGGACGCUGUGUAAAAUGUAAAUAAAUGUAAAUAAAAACAGAAUGCAAUGA